UCCAAUAUUUUCCCGCCCAAACUGCCUACAUCCCUCACUUCUCUUUUGCGUCAUUUCUAUUCUUCGUUUACGCUUUCCAAUAUUUUUUUAAAAUCACGCUGGCCAGUUACCAAUUUAUGGCUGUGACCAUUGCUAUUUCCUAGGAUUUUUAGAUCUACUGUUUCAAUUUCCCUUGCUUUAAAAGUUUUUUAUGGAAAAACCAUGGAAGGAAACCGAGAAGUUACUGAUUCAAUUUACUCCAAUACUUGUAAUUUUUUUGCUCAAAUUCUUAUUAGUUUUUCCUGUUUCUCGAACAAAUUGCUAUGAUUGAUUAUGUAUUUUUGAUUUUCGGGUAGCUUAAACUUCGGAUUGUUGCAGCUCUUGAACAACUCCAAUGGCAGCUUUGGGUAAUUAGAACUCCAAGUUUAUUUCUCGAAUGUGGGUAAUCACGUUCUACCACUAUGGAAACUGUACUAUUUUGAAUCUAUUUGAAUUCUGAUUUAUGUUUUAACUUUUUUUUCAUUUGAAAUCUUUUUUGUUUUUGAGAGUGAAUUGGAGGAUGGGAUAAAAGUUCUUUCUAUUUUGACAUGGGUGAAGAUGAAUAGCAGAAGAUUCUGGCAAAGAUAUGAGGACGACGUUCUGAAUAGGAAUAACGACGAGGGCGGCUAAGUCGGCGGUAGCAAGGUGUGUCCAUGUCGUCUGUAACGGUGUUUCCGGAAUAAAUUUGAGUUUUGAUUGGAUUUAUCAAUAUACUCAGUAGUUUGCAGUAAUUGGAGGAAUUUUGAUUGGAUUUAUCAAUAUAGUUUGAAGUGGGUUUGGACGGAAUACAUAUUUAAUAUUUUGUUUUGAAGAUGUAUGAAACUUGAGAUUAUUAUACACUUAUGUCGUUCCAUUUAAUUAUUUAAUACAUCUAUGCUUAAUGAAGA
Spinacia oleracea (spinach) is the source of this 905-nucleotide long non-coding RNA. RefSeq lists it as uncharacterized. The transcript has 2 exons. The record is from RefSeq and is a predicted model, not a curated record. Lineage: Eukaryota; Viridiplantae; Streptophyta; Magnoliopsida; Caryophyllales; Amaranthaceae.